UGAACAUAGUUUUUAAAAUUCUAGUCCGUGAUUCUAGAGAUGAAGAUUAGAAAUCUUCUGCUCACC
This 66-nucleotide transfer RNA is filed under the name Allobates amissibilis. RNAcentral's name for it is "tRNA-His". Lineage: Eukaryota; Metazoa; Chordata; Amphibia; Anura; Aromobatidae. The record is from RNAcentral.